This 921-nucleotide long non-coding RNA is filed under the name Piliocolobus tephrosceles (Ugandan red Colobus). Its description in RNAcentral is "lncRNA (ENSPTEG00000002211.1)". Lineage: Eukaryota; Metazoa; Chordata; Mammalia; Primates; Cercopithecidae. The record is from RNAcentral.
GAGGUGAUCUAGAAGAUACAACCACCUUCAGUCAAAGUGCCUGAGGGAAUGAUAGGAGAAGCUGGGCUCUCUGAUAAGAUCACAGAUCCAGUGAACAGGGGAGGAUUGAAAGCCUUCAGAUUCCUUUCAUGUGAAAAGACAGACUUUUAUAUGUGUGAGCCUCUGUUAGCUUGAGUCUUCUGUUUUAUGCAGCCAAACUUAACCCUAACUGCCACACACCGUCUACUUACAUUUUAUGAUGCUCUCUCUAAUCUCUUAGGUAAUUGUAUCCUCCCAGAAACCUAUGGAGAGCUGAAGGGAUUUUAGGAACAUGGAAUCCACUCUCCUCCUUUGAUAAAAGAGGACAAAGGCCAGAGAGCUGUGCGAUGGCUGAGGCAGGCGAUUGUAAACCAAAAGGUGCCUGAGACUGAUAUCAAUCCAUUUAAAAGCUCAAUUUCCAUUUGGAGUGGCUUCUGGAAGGCUGGAAUUGAAAUCCACCAGUGCCCAUUUCAAGGUGUUCCCAACUUUGCCUGGAAAAAAAGGAGCCCGGAUACGCUUCCCUGUGGAUGCAGAAGAGCUUCAGCAUGAGGGGGGCAAUCCCUGCUGCCUUGUGGCUGCAAAAGGAGAGAGAAGGAGCCUCUCCAAAAAAGGGUUUCAUGAAAGCGCUGAGGCGAGAUACUUACUUCAGAGGGUUCAGGACAAGGACACUCACUUUGUUCUGUGUGGUGUGGAGACGCGGGUGAGCGUUCCUCAGUGGCACCAACUGGUUCCCUCUUGUCCUCAGCUUCCAGUGCCCUGGGACAUGUCAUUUGGACAAAACACUUUUCCAUGUCCUGCCAUCCAUUCCACAGGGGCAGGAGAAAAGGGUCUGGAGGCAGGAACAUAAGGCCGAUUCACCCUGACUUCGGAGAACUGAAUCAAAUGGAAAUUCUUGGGCUAUGA